Pseudophryne corroboree (corroboree frog) is the source of this 502-nucleotide long non-coding RNA. RefSeq lists it as uncharacterized. The transcript has 2 exons. The record is from RefSeq and is a predicted model, not a curated record. NCBI's taxonomy places the organism in Eukaryota, Metazoa, Chordata, Amphibia, Anura, Myobatrachidae.
UUUUACUUAUGAGCUGCAGCCACCUCCUCCUUCCUCAGGUCCUGGUGGCUCUGUGGUCCUCCUCCAUUUAUAGUUCACCCCUUCUGGUACUCACAAACACUGUGUCUGUUGGACAGUAUUCAUCCCCUCCUCAGCUCCAAGUGACUUCCUUUUCUGGCACGGUAUAUGUAAUGUCAUGCUGUCACCGCUGCUGAAGUGAAGAAGAGCCAUGAAGAGGAGCAGGCUCUGUGCAUCUUGAAGACAAGAUGAAAGGGGGCUGGAGGGACAAGAGAGGAAAGAGAAUUUGUCCUGGAAUGAGCCUGGCAGAUAUGGAAAUUUUCUUGUAUGUCACCACACUGAUGCAAAACUUUACCAUCAAGUCACCGGUCCCCCCUGAAGAGAUCUCAGUGGCACCAGUGGGAGUGGGACUUGCACACAUCCCUCCCAACUAUGAAUUUUGCCUUUUACCUCGUUCAUGUUUUCACUAAAAGGAUUAAAGAAUAAUUGUUUUUAAAUCUGAGAA